Long non-coding RNA from Ipomoea nil (Japanese morning glory), 110 nucleotides. RefSeq lists it as uncharacterized. The transcript has 3 exons. The record is from RefSeq and is a predicted model, not a curated record. NCBI's taxonomy places the organism in Eukaryota, Viridiplantae, Streptophyta, Magnoliopsida, Solanales, Convolvulaceae.
CCCGACUCAAAUCGGAAGUGGACUCCACGGAUAAUUGUAUCACAAAAUAGCUAUUUAACAUGUCAUUUUAAUGCUAUUUUUCCAAGAUAUAUAUAUAUAUAUAUAUAUAU